This 393-nucleotide ribosomal RNA is filed under the name uncultured bacterium. RNAcentral's name for it is "partial 16S ribosomal RNA". It matches the Rfam family "Bacterial small subunit ribosomal RNA", at positions 523 to 918 of the family's 1533-position model. The record is from RNAcentral.
AUACGGAGGAUCCGAGCGUUAUCCGGAUUUAUUGGGUUUAAAGGGAGCGUAGGCGGACGCUUAAGUCAGUUGUGAAAGUUUGCGGCUCAACCGUAAAAUUGCAGUUGAUACUGGGUGUCUUGAGUACAGUAGAGGCAGGCGGAAGUUGGUGGGUGGCGGUGGAAUGCUUAGAUAUCACGAAGAACUCCGAUUGCGAAGGCAGCCUGCUGGACUGUAACUGACGCUGAUGCUCGAAAGUGUGGGGAUCGAACAGGAUUAGAUACCCUGGUAGUCCGCACAGUAAACGAUGAAUACUUGUUUUCGGCGAUAUAAUGUCGGAGGCAAAGCGAAAGCGAUAAGUAUUCCACCUGGGGAGUACGCCGGCAACGGUGAAACUCAAAUGAAUUGGCGGGG